This is a non-coding RNA of Lepisosteus oculatus (spotted gar), 392 nucleotides long. Lineage: Eukaryota; Metazoa; Chordata; Actinopteri; Semionotiformes; Lepisosteidae. The record is from RefSeq and is a predicted model, not a curated record.
GUCGGUGGCGGCGAGGAAGGCCAGGGAAGAGGAGGAGAGCGCGCUGGAGAGGGCGAGGGAGGGCCGAGAGCAGCUGGCCAGAUACAACGCGCAGCUGGCCCAGGAGCAGAGACUGCACCAGCAGUACCUGGAGAAGGAGCUGUACACCAACCAGCCUACAGCUCACUACUUCACACAGUUCAACACCUCCUCACGCUGACGCACAUAGAGCUAGACACACACACCGAUGGCCACACACACACACACUGACGGCCAGAUACAAAGCUAUAUUCACACACACUCAGGUAUCCACAGACACUAGCUCACCAAGUUUAUAAUCCCAGUUCUCCUGUCAUCGAGCCUACCAGCACAGAGCUGAAUAAAGUCUAGGAUGGCGCUGAAGCACUCUGGUU